RNAcentral lists this ribosomal RNA (478 nucleotides) under uncultured bacterium. RNAcentral describes it as "partial 16S ribosomal RNA". It matches the Rfam family "Bacterial small subunit ribosomal RNA", at positions 28 to 523 of the family's 1533-position model. The record is from RNAcentral.
GACAAACGCUGGCGGCGUGCCUAACACAUGCAAGUCGAGCGAUGAAAUCCCUUUGGGGAUGGAUUAGCGGCGGACGGGUGAGUAACACGAGGGUAACCUGCCUCAAAGAGGGGGAUAGCCUCCCGAAAGGGAGAUUGAUACCGCAUAACAUUAGUUUUUCGCAUGGAGAACUAAUUAAAGGAGUAAUCCGCUUUGAGAUGGACCCGCGGCGCAUUAGCUAGUUGGUGAGGUAAAGGCUCACCAAGGCGACGAUGCGUAGCCGACCUGAGAGGGUGAUCGGCCACAUUGGAACCGAGACACGGUCCAGACUCCUACGGGAGGCAGCAGUGGGGAAUAUUGCACAAUGGGCGAAAGCCUGAUGCAGCAACGCCGCGUGAGUGAUGAAGGCCUUCGGGUUGUAAAGCUCUGUCUUUUGGGACGAUAAUGACGGUACCAAAGGAGGAAGCCACGGCUAACUACGUGCCAGCCGCCGCAGUAA